This 300-nucleotide small RNA is filed under the name Flavobacterium sp. KMS. RNAcentral describes it as "5' ureB small RNA". It matches the Rfam family "5' ureB small RNA". Lineage: Bacteria; Pseudomonadati; Bacteroidota; Flavobacteriia; Flavobacteriales; Flavobacteriaceae. The record is from Rfam by way of RNAcentral.
CAGUUUCUAUUUGUUGCGGACAAAUAAAAUGAAUGUGUGUAUCGAUUCCGCCAGCAGUAAGGAUAUAACCGCUACCACCAUGAACUUCGGUAGAGGCACUAAUGAUAAGAUUAGAAUCUACACCAUCCAUAAUAUCUGGAUUUCCAGCUUUACCAAUACCUACGAUUUUACCAUCGCGAACACCUACAUCGGCUUUUACAAUUCCCCAGUGAUCAAUAAUAAUAACUCCUGUAAUACAAAGGUCUAACGAACCUUGCUCACGGAUAGAAGUUGUGGAUUGUCCCAUACCAUCACGUACUG